Molecule: transfer RNA, 74 nt
Filed under: Calditrichota bacterium
Lineage: Bacteria; Pseudomonadati; Calditrichota
Description: Calditrichaeota bacterium tRNA-Ser
Rfam family: tRNA
About the family: Transfer RNA (tRNA) molecules are approximately 80 nucleotides in length. Their secondary structure includes four short double-helical elements and three loops (D, anti-codon, and T loops).
Source: RNAcentral
ACCCCCGUAGCUCAAUUGGCUAGAGCAUCUACCCGCUAAGUAGGAGGUUGCAGGUUCGAAUCCUGCCGGGGGUA